ACACGACUACAUUAGAUACCCGCGUAGUCCUAGCCGUAAACGAUACUCGCUAGGUGUCGGCCACGGUGCGACCGUUGUCGGUGCCGUAGGGAAGCCGUGAAGCGAGCCACCUGGGAAGUAUGGCCGCAAGGCUGAAACUUAAAGGAAUUGGCGGGGGAGCACAACAACGGGUGGAGCUUGCGGUUUAAUUGGAUUCAACGCCGGAAAUCUUACCGGGACCGACAGCAACAUGAAGGCCAAGCUGAAGACUUUGCCGGAUUAGCUG
Molecule: ribosomal RNA, 265 nt
Filed under: uncultured archaeon
Lineage: Archaea
Description: partial 16S ribosomal RNA
Rfam family: Archaeal small subunit ribosomal RNA
Source: RNAcentral